RNAcentral lists this non-coding RNA (153 nucleotides) under Dichanthelium oligosanthes. Its description in RNAcentral is "Bacterial large subunit ribosomal RNA". It matches the Rfam family "Bacterial large subunit ribosomal RNA", at positions 2309 to 2452 of the family's 2925-position model. The record is from Rfam by way of RNAcentral. Lineage: Eukaryota; Viridiplantae; Streptophyta; Magnoliopsida; Poales; Poaceae.
CACAAUGGCCGGCCGAUCGUAGCCACCGGUAAUGACGACGUUCUCGUGAGCGUAAUGGUAUAAGCCUGCCUGACUGUGAGACCGACUGGUCGAACAGAGACGAAAGUCGGCCAUAGUGAUUCAGGAGUCCUGUGUGGAAGGGCUCUCACUCAA